RNAcentral lists this ribosomal RNA (263 nucleotides) under uncultured bacterium. Its description in RNAcentral is "partial 16S ribosomal RNA". It matches the Rfam family "Bacterial small subunit ribosomal RNA", at positions 793 to 1055 of the family's 1533-position model. The record is from RNAcentral.
GUCCACGCCCUAAACGAUGUCGACUGGUUGUUGGGGUUUGACACUCUCAGUAACGAAGCUAACGCGUGAAGUCGACCGCCUGGGGAGUACGGCCGCAAGGUUAAAACUCAAAGGAAUUGACGGGGACCCGCACAAGCGGUGGAUUAUGUGGAUUAAUUCGAUGCAACGCGAAAACCUUACCUACCCUUGACAUGUCCGAAAGCCCGGAGAGAUUUGGGUGUGCCCGAAAGGGAAUCGGAACACAGGUGCUGCAUGGCUGUCGU